UACGUAGGGUCCGAGCGUUGUCCGGAAUUACUGGGCGUAAAGAGCUCGUAGGCGGUUUGUCGCGUCUGCCGUGAAAGUCCGGGGCUCAACUCCGGAUCUGCGGUGGGUACGGGCAGACUAGAGUGAUGUAGGGGAGACUGGAAUUCCUGGUGUAGCGGUGAAAUGCGCAGAUAUCAGGAGGAACACCGAUGGCGAAGGCGGGUCUCUGGGCCGAUACUGACGCUGAGGAGCGAAAGCGUGGGGAGCGAACAGG
This 253-nucleotide ribosomal RNA is filed under the name uncultured bacterium. RNAcentral describes it as "partial 16S ribosomal RNA". It matches the Rfam family "Bacterial small subunit ribosomal RNA", at positions 524 to 776 of the family's 1533-position model. The record is from RNAcentral.